CCGAGUUAGGGUCUUCUCAGGCCCGACCUCCCAACCCUGUGUUUACUGAACCUAUGUUGCUUCGGCGGGCCCGUCUCACGACCGCCGGAGGACCGUAAGACGUCCUCUGGCCCGCGCCCGUCGGUGGCCAAACUUGAUAAAACUCCGAUUGAAUCGUGUCACUGUCUGAGUACCAUUCUUAAUUAAAAUA
This 190-nucleotide unclassified non-coding RNA is filed under the name uncultured Cladophialophora. RNAcentral describes it as "sequence contains ITS1". The record is from RNAcentral. Lineage: Eukaryota; Fungi; Ascomycota; Eurotiomycetes; Chaetothyriales; Herpotrichiellaceae.